This 70-nucleotide transfer RNA is filed under the name Anadara vellicata. RNAcentral describes it as "tRNA-Leu". The record is from RNAcentral. Lineage: Eukaryota; Metazoa; Mollusca; Bivalvia; Arcoida; Arcidae.
AGCUUGGGUGGCAGAAAAAUGCGGUUGGUUUAGGUCCAAUUUAUGGGUUUGGUUUAGGCCCCCCUGGCUU